GGGAUCCUCUGCAAUGUCUGUUGACGAGAUUGUGGAAGAGAUGAUGAGGCUUAACAAAUCACUACCAAUAAGGCCCGGGAUAGAUGAAGUUGAAGCAGCAAAAGUUUUAGUUAUGAAUAUGGACAAGGAGGAAAAAAUGAAGUUAGAGACAAUUGCGCGGCAAAACAAAAGAAAAGAUGUACCAGAAGAGCUAUUCAAAAUAUUGCAAGAGAUGCAGAGGAAUUUAGUUUAUUUUCAGAGUAAAGAAGAGAAGAGGGAAGC
Molecule: unclassified non-coding RNA, 261 nt
Filed under: Hevea brasiliensis (rubber tree)
Lineage: Eukaryota; Viridiplantae; Streptophyta; Magnoliopsida; Malpighiales; Euphorbiaceae
Source: RNAcentral